RNAcentral lists this ribosomal RNA (444 nucleotides) under uncultured bacterium. Its description in RNAcentral is "partial 16S ribosomal RNA". It matches the Rfam family "Bacterial small subunit ribosomal RNA", at positions 339 to 795 of the family's 1533-position model. The record is from RNAcentral.
CUACGGGAGGCACCAGUGGGGAAUAUUGCACAAUGGGCGCAAGCCUGAUGCAGCAACGCCGCGUGAGGAAUGAAGGCCUUCGGGUUGUAAACCUCUUUUAGCAGGGAAGAAGCGAAAGUGACGGUACCUGCAGAAAAAGCACCGGCUAACUACGUGCCAGCAGCCGCGGUAAUACGUAGGGUGCAAGCGUUGUCCGGAAUUAUUGGGCGUAAAGAGCUCGUAGGCGGUUUGUCACGUCUGCUGUGAAAAUCCAAGGCUCAACCUUGGACUUGCAGUGGGUACGGGCAGGCUAGAGUGCGGUAGGGGAGAUGGGAAUUCCUGGUGUGGCGGUGGAAUGCGCAGAUAUCAGGAGGAACACCAAUGGCGAAGGCACACCUCUGGGCCGUAACUGACGCUGAGGAGCGAAAGCGUGGGGAGCGAACAGGAUUAGAUACCCCGGUAGUC